CAGUAGCCACGGGAAUACGAAGGGUGCAAGCGUUACUCAGAAUUACUGGGCGUAAAGCGUGCGUAGGUGGUGGUUUAAGUCCGUUGUGAAAUCCCCGGGCUCAACCUGGGAAUGGCAGUGGGUACUGGCAAGCUAGAGUGUGUCAGAGGAUGGUGGAAUUCCCGGUGUAGCGGUGAAAUGCGUAGAGAUCGGGAGGAACAUCAGUGGCGAAGGCGGCCAUCUGGGACAACACUGACGCUGAGGCACGAAAGCGUGGGGAGCAAACAGGAUUAGAUACCCCCGUAGUCCCUGUCUCUUAUAC
RNAcentral lists this ribosomal RNA (301 nucleotides) under uncultured bacterium. Its description in RNAcentral is "partial 16S ribosomal RNA". It matches the Rfam family "Bacterial small subunit ribosomal RNA", at positions 509 to 807 of the family's 1533-position model. The record is from RNAcentral.